Long non-coding RNA from Pipistrellus kuhlii (Kuhl's pipistrelle), 804 nucleotides. RefSeq lists it as uncharacterized. The transcript has 2 exons. NCBI's taxonomy places the organism in Eukaryota, Metazoa, Chordata, Mammalia, Chiroptera, Vespertilionidae. The record is from RefSeq and is a predicted model, not a curated record.
GGAGCCUAUAUGAAAUAAACCAGACAGGAAAAUUAAACUCGUCCUUACAUGUCUGCUUACAGCAAUGGAGGUGACAAGGUAAAGAGGGAAGUCAACAGGAAAUCAAAGCUACAAGUCAUUCAAUCUGAGGAAUAAAGCUAGCAGCAAUUUCCCUUUAAUACCUGUUUGUUUAGCAGAAAUAAAGCAUAACAAUUAGACAUGUAUACUUCAGACUGUAUAGUUAAAAAAAUAAGAGCCCAUCUCUUUUGGGAAAAAGUUAGUAUACUUAGUAACUAUUCUAUUGGAUGGCCAGAGAAGAAUUUACUAGGUUGGCAGGAUUAUAGGUGAUUUAGGAAAUAAUUCUCAUGAGUUUUAUUAAUGCUGAUCACAAAUGUAACAAAAUAUGUUCAGGAGAAAUUUAAAACUGCCAAAAUGUAAACGAAUGCACAAUAAACAAAAAUGAAUGAACCGUCAUCAGCUGCCUUCUGUAAUUAACUUCUUGUCCUUACUGAGGAAAGAGAAGACAAGUAAGGCCUGGACACUCGCAGAUGGCUGGCCCUGUUCUCCCCCCCCCGUGCCUCCCAGGAUCAUGGACAGUGAUUAGUAACCAUACAGGUAUUUUUGUGCCACUGACACAAAAUUAUCCUCAAACAAAAGGCGCUGUAAUGCUAGUUUUUAUUAAAUUAAUUUUACCUUUGCUUUGGAGCAGGGAUAUUGAAACAGAUGGACUUUGCAAAAGUCAUCAGCAACAGCUAUCACCUUCCUAUUGUGGGAUCGCACCAGUGCAUUGAUAUCUGUCCCAUCAGAUCCUUCUGGCCAGACACC